Nicotiana tabacum (common tobacco) is the source of this 1138-nucleotide long non-coding RNA. RefSeq lists it as uncharacterized. The record is from RefSeq and is a predicted model, not a curated record. Lineage: Eukaryota; Viridiplantae; Streptophyta; Magnoliopsida; Solanales; Solanaceae.
CUAUAUUACUAGGGUUAGGGUUAUAGGGAGUAAGGUGCUCAAUUAACCUUCAGCCGCCGUCAAACGGCGUUCUCGCCGGCGGCGGCGACAUUGCCAAGAACCUAUUUUGAAUCCGAUCUGAAUUUAUCUCAAGCUGCUUAACAUACGGACUUUCCUUGUCUAUUACUUGCAUACACACCAAAACUAGAUAUAGGAAGAAGAUGCUAAAGGAACUCUUGAUUUGCAAGGCCAAGUAGAAAUCAUUUGCUUGUUUGAAGGAAUUGGUGCUAUACCUUGCCUAAAAACUCUGGUCUGCAAAGUUGCUACGACAAACUAAGGAGCUUGUUGUCUUAUACCAGAUCGUGCUGACAGUGAGACAUGUUUCAGUUAUUUGUAUGACAAAGCGUGGUGAAGAAGCUACUUGCCGUAUCUCACAACAACCAGUCUUCGAAGAUUGAUGAAAUAGUGGUUUGGAAGGUGAGGUAGAAAAAGCUUAUGAAGCCAUUUAGCUGAAUGUUCAAAUCAAUCGGUGACCACUUGGACUUGGUAAGACAACUCUAACCAAGAACAUGUAUAAAUUGCAAGUACAUGACUAUUCACGUUGUUGUUUGAGCAUGGUAUAAGUUUCCCAAGUACAUAAGAAGAGAAAUUCGUCAAUUGGAAAUUUCAUUGAAGGAAAUAACUUAACAUUCGACAAAUUUCUUUUCUCUCAUACUUGUGAAAUGCAACAACAUGCUCAAAUGUUAAAAGUGGAAAGUUUGUAUUUGUAAUUAUAUAUUUUUUUGGCUAGAGUUGUCUUGCCAAGUCAAGUAUCCAAUUGAUUUGAACCUUUGGGUCGGUGGCUUCAUGAUCUUCUUAUGCCUCAGCUUCAUCACCUACCACUAUAUCAUCAAUUCUCGGAGAGUGUGCUCUGAACAUACAAUCCAUACCAUUUUUACUUAGAAGCUAAAUGUUGACAUUGAUAUGGUUGUUCCGUUGUUGAUAUUUGAUGAUUUGCUCUUGAAAAUGAACAAGAGGGAGGAAAUUACUUUAACAUUUGAAGUUUGUAUGGAAAUUGUUGGCACUAUUGUAGGAUUUGGCGAAAAAGAAUAUUUGGAUUUAAGUUGCUUGCCUGGGAAUUUGGAUAUUGUAUAACCUGAGUGUAACUGUAUUUUUUUCA